GGUUAAGUUACUAAGGGCGCACGGUGGAUGCCUUGGCAGUCGAACCGAUGAAGGACGUGGCUACCUGCGAUAAGCCUCGGUGAGCUGGAAGCAAGCUUUGACCCGAGGAU
This 110-nucleotide ribosomal RNA is filed under the name Truepera sp. Its description in RNAcentral is "Bacterial large subunit ribosomal RNA". It matches the Rfam family "Bacterial large subunit ribosomal RNA", at positions 1 to 111 of the family's 2925-position model. The record is from Rfam by way of RNAcentral. Lineage: Bacteria; Thermotogati; Deinococcota; Deinococci; Trueperales; Trueperaceae.